RNAcentral lists this ribosomal RNA (417 nucleotides) under Japonactaeon nipponensis. Its description in RNAcentral is "partial 16S ribosomal RNA". It matches the Rfam family "Archaeal large subunit ribosomal RNA", at positions 1909 to 2666 of the family's 2987-position model. The record is from RNAcentral. Lineage: Eukaryota; Metazoa; Mollusca; Gastropoda; Acteonidae.
AGUCUUAAGUUAGAUUUAAGAUACCGCCUGCCCAGUGUGAUUUAAUAAAUGGCCGCGGUACUUUGACCGUGCUAAGGUAGCAUAAUCAGUUGACUUUUAAAUGGAGCCCGGAAUGAAUGGCUGACGGGGGGCUAACUGUCUCUUUUUUACUCUAUUGAAUUUACUUUUUAGGUGAAAAAGCCUUACUAAAAUUAAAAGACGAGAAGACCCUAGGAGUUUAAUUAUAUUUUGUUGGGGCGACAUAGGAACAGAAAUCUUCCUGUAUAAAAUUUUACUACUAGACGAAUUUUAAGAGAGAUUAACACUACCCUAGGGAUAACAGCAUAAUUUAAUUUAAGUUUGUGACCUCGAUGUUGGACUAGGGAAUAAAUAGGCGAGCUGUCUAUUUUUUUGGUUCUGUUCGAACUUUCGACCCUA